RNAcentral lists this ribosomal RNA (253 nucleotides) under uncultured bacterium. RNAcentral's name for it is "partial 16S ribosomal RNA". It matches the Rfam family "Bacterial small subunit ribosomal RNA", at positions 524 to 776 of the family's 1533-position model. The record is from RNAcentral.
GACAGAGGUGCCAAGCGUUAGGCGGAAUCACUGGGCUUAAAGCGUGUGUAGGCGGAUUGGUAAGUACCUUGUGAAAUCUCACGGCUCAACCGUGGAACUGCUUGGUAUACUGCUUAUCUUGAGCCACUUAGGGGCUACCGGAACAAAUGGUGGAGCGGUGAAAUGCGUAGAUAUGCGGAGGAACACCGAUGGCGAAGGCAAUCCCCUGGGCCUGCACUGACGCUCAUGCACGAAAGCGUGGGGAGCAAACAGG